RNAcentral lists this long non-coding RNA (37921 nucleotides) under Triticum aestivum (bread wheat). RNAcentral describes it as "long non-coding RNA (TAES_LNC020272)". The stretch from base 11504 to 11637 matches the Rfam family "MIR1120/MIR1122 microRNA precursor family". The record is from RNAcentral. Lineage: Eukaryota; Viridiplantae; Streptophyta; Magnoliopsida; Poales; Poaceae.
GCAGAAGCAGGUUUAGGUGUCACAAGCUUACUCAAAACAGAAGGUGAAUCAAGUGCAGAUCUAGAUGGCGGUUCCUUACCUCCCCUCAUAGUUGAGGGAAAAAUCUAGGUUUUUGGAUCUCUCAAGUUCUUCAUAAUGAUAAGCAGAUAUAAAUCCCAAGUGACUCAAAGAAUAGAGCUAUGCUCCCUGGCAACGGCGCCAGAAAAUAGUCUUGAUAACCCACAAGUAUAGGGGAUCGCAAUAGUUUUCGAGGGUAGAGUAUUCAACCCAAAUUUAUUGAUUCGACACAAGGGUAGCCAAAGAAUAUUCUCAAGUAUUAGCAGCUGAGUUGUCAAUUCAACCACACCUGGAAACUUAGUAUCUCCAGCAAAGUGUUUAGUAGAAACGUAAUAUGUUAGUAGUGGUAACGGUAGCAAAAGGUAAUUAUAGCAAAAGUAAUGUUUUUGGUAUUUUGUAGUGAUGACAGCAAUAGCAACAGAAAAGUAAAUAUGCGAAGAACAAUAUAUGGAAAGCUCGUAGGCAAUGGAUCAGUGAUGGAGAAUUAUGCCAGAUGUGGUUCAUCAUGUAAUAGUCAUAACCUCUGGUGACACGGAACUAGCUCUAGUUCGUCGAUGUAAUGUAGGCAUGUAUUACGAAUAUAGUCAUACGUUCUUAUGGAAAAGAACUUGUAUGACAUCUUUUGUCCUACCCUCCCGUGGCAGCGGGGUCCUUACGGAAACUAAGGGAUAUUAAGGCCUCCUUUUAAUAGAGUACCAGAACAAAGCAUUAACACAUAGUGAAGACAUGAACUCCUCAAACUAUGGUCAUCACCGGUAAGUAUCCCGAUUAUUGUCAAUUCGGGGUUAACGGAUAAUAACACAUAAUAGGUGACUAUAGAAUUGAAAGAUAGGAUCAAGAACUCUCAUAUAUUGAUGAAAACAUAAUAGGUUCAGAUGUGAAAUCAUGGCACUCGGGCCCUAGUGACAAGCAUUAAGCAUAGCAAAGUCAUAUCAACAUCAAUCUCAGAACAUAGUGGAUACUAGGGGUCAAACCCUAACAAAACUAACUCGAUUACAUGAUAGAUCCCAUCCAACCCAUAACCGUCCAGCAAGCCUACGAUGGAAUUACUCACACACGGCGGUGAGCAUCAUGAAAUUGGUGAUGGAGGAUGGUUGAUGAGACGAUGGCGACGAAUUCCCCUCUCCGGAGCCCCGAACGGACUCCAGAUCAGCCCUCCCGAGAGGUUUUAGGGCUUGGUGGCGGCUCCGUAUCGUAAAACGCAAUGAAUCCUUCUCUCAUAUUUUUUUCUCCCUGAAAGCAAAUGUAUAGAGUUGGUCUUGAGGUUGGAGGAGCUCUAGGGGACCCACGAGGCAGGGGGCAUGCCCCCCACCCUCAUGGACAGGUGGUGGGCCCCCUGGCCUUCAUCUUUUGCAAGGAUUUUUUAUAUUUUCUGAAAAGUUUUUCCGUAAAGUUUCAGGUCAUUCCGAGAACUUUUGUUUCUCCACAUAAAUAGCACCAUGGUAAUUCUGCAGAAAACAGCGUCAGUCCGGGUUAGUUCCAUUCCAAUCAUGCAAGUUAGUGUCCAAAACAAGGGCCAAAGUGUUUGGAAAAGUAGAUACGACGGAGAUGAAUAGGACCCCGAUUGAUCAAGCCGGUUGGGGCUGGAUGCACGGGACCCUGUGGAGGGCUGGAUGAACAGGACCACCCCGUGGAGGGCAGGAUGAAUAGUAGAUGGUGGAGGGCUGGAUGAAUAGUAGCCCGUGGAGGGGUGGUUGAACAUGAGCCCGUGGAGAGGGCUGGUUGAACAGUAGCCGGUGGAGUAGCGCGUGAUGGAGGCUGGAUUAACAGGAGCCCAUGGACGAACAGUCGCAGGUGGAGGCUGGAGGAGGUCGACGGUGGAUGAACAAUAUCCCAUGGAGGCUAGAGGGGGUCGACGGUCGAGAUGAACAGUAUCCCGUGGAGUCCCGUUCUGUAGUACGCCACACCCCUCCCGAUGAACAGGACCCCAUUUCGACCAUAGCGCUCCAACACAAGUCCUUUUCCUCCGUUUUGCGGUACGCCACACCCCUCCGAUCAACAGGACCCCCGUUUCGACCAUAGGAGGUCCGUUUCCUCCGUUUUGCGGUACGCUAGACCCCUCCCGAUGAACAUGAUCCUGUUUCGACCGUGGACGGUCGAACACAAGGCCGUUUCCUCCAUUCUGCGGUACACCAGACCUGGUUUCCAUCGGCUGUUCCGUCCAAGCCCUCCCGAUGAACAUGACGACGCAUUCCAUUCCGACAAGCCGGUUGGCUCCCCAUGAGCACGACAAUGAUGCAGUUUCUCCGUUCUGACCCAGCCAUGUACACGAGCCCUAGUCGUACGUAUGCGCGAGUAGGCGUUCGAGACCCUUCCCGUAUGUACAUAUGUGGCCGUAUUUUCUUUCUUGCACACUGACCACUGUACGUACGUGUACAUGCUACGUGCGCGUCUCUACAUCGACCAGUAUGUACGUACACGUUCGCGACUAGAAUGACAACCCUACAUACGCUUCGACCAGGUGGGUCCCGACUGUCAAGCACUUCCUUGCGUGCGAAGAUGUAGCUGGUGGGUCCCAGCAGUCAGGGGGGCGAAUCGUUUUUUUUGCCAGGAGGCACUUCCUUGCGUGCGAAGCUGUAGCUGGUGGGUCCCAGUAGUCAGGGGAAACGUUUUUUUGUGAAAUACGGUGGCCUGUCCGGUGGGUCCCUGCUGUCAGGUGGAGGGAUCAUUAUUCUGCGCGUAAUAAGGAGGCACUUCCUUGCUGCGGCCGUGGACCCAGCUGUCUGCCUCUCCACGUAUAGUCCACGUCCAAUGGAAGCCGUUCCUUGACCAUGUUGACCAUGCUGCGCCGAUAGCACCAGGGCGGUGGACGACGGUGAGGCCUAGGAAGGGGACGACGCGGAGCCGGGGAAGAUGCGGCAGUGGAAGCCCACACGGAGAGGAGUACGAGGGUUCACUGGUUCAUGGCUGCGGUGUGAGGCUGCCAUCACCGCAGAAUAAUAGGGGGUGUGGGUGAGUAGAGGGAUGGCCUGGCCAGCGGUGGGAGUACUAGGGGGCGGUGAGGACUCCACGGCAUCACAGCCGGCCAUGGGAUGCAGGAGCACGUGGCACGACCGGCGCUGGUUUGGGCGGCUGGAGCAAGAAGACCAGAGGUUGAAGAAGCACUACGGCCGUUGGAUGGACAUCGUACGGUCACUGGAGCUAGAAUCGUUCAUAUUGACUAAGUUGACAAAGCCCUCCAUCCCCGUCAACUUAGUAGGCCCACAAGUUAGCCUCCCACCAAGGUGGGUCCCAGCUAGCAGGGGGUAUUCAUUUUUUCUGCGUAAUAAGGAGGCACUUCGGUGGGUCCGAGCUGACAGCGGGGGGAAUGUUUUUUCGCGAAAUACGGUGACCCGUCCGGUGGGUCCCAGCAGUCAGGGGGAAACGUUUUUUUUUUGCAAAAUACGGUGGCCCGUCCGAUGGGUCCUUGCUGUUAGGUGGAGGAAUCAUUAUUUUCCGCGUAAUAAGGAGGCACUUCCUUGCUGUGGCUGUGGACCCAGCUGUCAGCCUCUCCACGUACAGUACACUUCCGAUGGAAGUCGUUCCUUGACCAUGUUGACCACGCCAUGUUCCUUUGCAUGCAUGCAUUCAUGGGCGUGGUGCGUCCUCACUGUCAGCAUCUCACGUACAGUCAUCUUCUGAUGACUCUCGGUUGUUGACCAUGUUGACCACACCGUGCCGAGCGCACCAAAGGCCAAUGGACGACGGCGAGGCCCCAGACUGGAACGACCCGGAGAUGGGGAAGACGGGGUAGUGGAGUCGCGGAUGGAGAGGAGUGGGAAACUUGACUAUUUCGGGUGCGCGACAGCACAGCCGUGAUGCCGCCCAUGGGAGACAGGAGCAAGAACAGAGGUUGAAGAAGGAGCACCGCUGUUGGAUUAACAUCCAAUGGUCUAAAAGCUAGAAUCAUUUUUUGAUUAAGUAGACAAAUCCCUGCGUACAUGUCCGCUUAGUAGGCCCACAAGUCAGCCACCAAAUCUGACGGGUCCAAACUGUCAACGGGAGGAAUAAUUUUUUUCGCAUAAGAAGGAGGCACUUCCUUCCGUGCGAGGAUACAGCCGGUGGGUCCCAGCUAUCGCGUGGAGGAAACAUUUUUUCAGCUUAAUAAGGAGGAACUUUCCUUGUGUGCGACCAUGGACCUCGUGGGUUCCAGCCGUCAGGCUCUCCAAGUACAGUCCUCUUCCGAUGACUCUCGUUUGUUCACCACACCGCACCGAGCGCAGCGAGGCGGUGGACGACGGCGAGGCCCCGGACGGGAACGACUCGGAGAUGGGAAAACACGCUAGUGGAGUCGCAGAUUGAGUGGAGGAGAAGGGUUAUAACUGGUUCUGGUGCGGCGUGGGGAUGCAGUCUCGGUGGAGAAUAACAGGAGGUAUGGAGGGGUGGAGGGAUAGCCUGGCCGACGGUGGGGUAGCGCUUCGCAGCGAUGCAUGCUAAGCAGAGCCGCUAGCCGUAAGAGGCCGGACCAGGCGGUCUCGGUGACGCUGGAGGAAGAAUACGAGAGAUUGAAGGUGCAUGCCGACCAAGUUGACAAUGCCCUGCGUAGGCUUCGACCUAUUGGCCCACAUGUCAGCCUGCAAAAAUUUGGCAUAUAUUUAACCCAUGUUUUCUAGAAUGUACAGUCCAUUUGGUGGGCUGGGUGAACAAAUAAUUUCGCAUCAAUGUGGCCCAUUUAUAUUAUCUAAGAAAUCCCAGCCCAUUUGCACUUCCUUCAAAUACACGAAUUAGCUGGGCUCGUUAUAAUGUUAUGUUAGAAGGAGCAAUUAAUAUCAAAAAUAAACCGGAGAGGCACAUUUUUUAUAUACAUAAUUAACAAAUUAGCGAGUUAUUGCUCAAAAUAAAAAUGAGCGCAUUAUUAUUACAUUGGUCCUUAAAACCUUCGCAAGCUUUUGUUCGCAAUCACUAGGAUUUUCCUUGCCUGUGAGUCAAAAACAACCAGGAUUUUCUUUGCCAACUUCUGUUAAACAUUUACUUUUAUAAGUUAAUAACACGUGGGAUGUUUUUAUAAUGUAUAUAUAAGUCUCUAUAAAAUAUACGAUAAUAGUAAUAAUAUAAAUAUAUAUAAUGUGGUUAAAAAAAUACAUUGGGCUGCCGAUCUUUAAGAAAAAGCCCAUAGGCCGGUAUGGACCUCAAAAAAUAAGUUGAAACCACUGUCACCGUAUGUCGUGGGCUACGCAUGUUAAAAUACAAAACUAGGCCUAGCUGAUACUUGUUCGCCCUCCGGAAAAAAAUGAUACUAGAUCCCCGAGCGAACUGGAUUAUAGAGGGGGCCGGCGGCACGGCUGAAGAAGCACAUCGGGAGCAAUUUUUUUCUUCAGUGGAUGGUUCUCAAUGGUGUUUUUUUACUUUCCUCUGCACCAUACAACUUGUAUUUUUAGCCUCCCAGUCUGUGCUGGACCAGCAGCCCAUUUGCUGGGCGGGCCAGCCUACAGAAAUCAGCACUCGAUUUUUCAUCAAGCUCCAAAAACAAUGCAGAAGUAUGUUUGUUUUGAGGCCGAAAACAUUACGGCAUGGGUUGAGAGGGGGAGGGGGCAAGACAGAGAAAAAUAUUAAAAAGAGUUGACGCGUUGUUGCUACCCUAACAAAGCAGAUGCAAUUAUUCUCGGGAAGAAGGUGUGCCAUUGACACCCACACGUCACAUACCCCACAGUAGGCAUACUAACAAGUUCACACCCAAGCACAACAGAGAAAGUAAACAUUCGUAUCAAACGCAGGUUCACAGGACACGUUCAUAUUCAUAGCCAACAUUCACUAUCAACAACUCAAAAGAUUCAUAUAUACACAAGUUCAGCAUGUCUAUGGAUCCAACUGAUUGAUAGAUGACCCAACAAUAUUCAUAGAUAAUUCACAAAGAGAUUUAGAUAUACACAUGUUUAGUAUGUCUAUGCAUCCAAAUGAUUGAGAUCACAGCCAAUAUGAUCCAUGGACGAACUUUAAUUACCUAGGGUACAUGCUGGUAAAUGGUGUUCAGUCAGAGGUACUUCUUGCUAAAAUUGAUGCUUGUACGAGUAAACAUUCGAGUACAUAAGAGGCAGUACAGACAAUCUGGACUUUGCUUGUAGGUUUAUCCUCAAAUAGUUUCCUCGUGCUGAGGGAGGUUUGAGCAACUUGGCCACUACUUUCAUCCAACUAGUUUACUAGGUCAUCUUGGUCCUGUAGCUCGCCAAAAUUCUACAUUGCAGACGAGAAAGGAGGCGAUUGAGAAAAUGAACCACCCAAAUUUUUUUUGCACUUCAACUGAAAUGGAGCAUCCCUGGCGUGCAGACUGAUUAAGUGCCAGAUGAAUAUACGCGUCAACCAACUUGUCUGGAAUCUUUAGACUCCAUGCCAUACAGUUCGCUACCAUAUCUGCCGGUAACCAAAAGGCACAAGUUGGGACCAAAGACUAGACUGUGUUUUUCUGGGCUAUGCGCCAAGCAAUAUUUUUAGCGUUCACUCUCCUAAUACUUGGAGUUUGACAACUGGUUGACGCCAGUUGAUACUCGAAUGAAUAUAGGCACGUCUUGUCAACAUCGAUGCUUGUCUGAGUGAACUUUGGAGUACAUAGCAGCAGCAUAAGUAUCCGUCCAUCUGAUCUUUUUGUGCAGUUUGACUGAAAUCACCCAAUGCAAUGAUUAGCCUGCGAGUUCAGGCUCCAAGUUACUCCUUUAUAAAAUCGGCAAACAGUAGCACAAUACCAAAUUAUCAAUACAUGACAAGCACAAUAAUCAGGAUAAAGACCAGUACCAACCUAUGUGAGGUAGCAUAUCAAUUAAUUUUUCCUUUGACUGGAAGCCGAGAUAAGCGAAGCGACUGAUGGCAAAGGAAGAAAGCAGGCCCAGAUUAGCGACUGACAGGAAAGGACGGAAGUUGUCGAGGCAAUGAAGCACCCAAAGUUUUUGUGUAGUUCCACCAAAAUCAAGCAUUUCUAUUGGCACAUAUAUUGAGAGAGAUUACUGUAAUAGUGGGACUAGUUGAUGAAACAUACACUAACAAAUAGAAGCACCCUCAUUAUCUUAAUGGAUAAAGUUAGCAACAUAGUAGUCUUGCUUAAAGAGAGGUAUUAGUUUAUUUAAUCAGUGCCAAUUAUCUCAACAAUCAAAGCAUUGCCAUGUAUCAUAGGUUUCAAAACUUUAACGUGCAAACAUAAAGGAGUUUCUCAUGACAGUAGCACAAUACAAAUAGAGAUGAUAGCAAACUAAUAUGGAUGAAGGCCUUAGGCUCGUACCAACCUAAGGAAAAAAGCUUAUUCAUGUAGUCCCAUAAGAGAGGAUAAAGCACUCACUGGAAUCACUCAAUAGUAUUUUUUUUGUGCACUUCAAAUGUAUGGUUGAAAUCACUCUUGUUUACCAAUGCUGAGAUUAUAUCGAAAUAUUAUCAAGAAAUUCCAGCAUAAUUAAAGCACAGGUUGGGAUAAAGUUCAUUGUAUUGUCUUGUGUAGUUCCACUAAAAUGUAUGAUUGGCACAACAUGAUCCCUGUUUGCACAAGUAGGAACAAGGUGAAACCUUCAUUAGCUUAGUGAGAAAGGAUAGAAAGACAUUAGCAUAUUACACUAACAGAAGCAUCAAAUUCAUGAUGGACAAUAUGCAAAACAUUGCCUCAUUGAACCAAUGGCAAUAAAUUGACAUGCAAAACAAUAGCACUAUUAUGUCAUGACACUAAUAAUAUUCCCUCCCUGCUCCACCACAUGAUUCACCUCCAUAGACAAACAUACACAUGUACAUGAUUCAGCAUAGGGUGCUACUAAAGAUUUGUUUAACUCCGACAGGAAAAUUAGGCAGCAAUCAAUUAGUGGUACUUAAGUACUCCUAAUUAACUGAGACAACAAAAGUGGAAGGGCUCCCUGGAGGAUCGUAUCACAUGUAAGGUAGUCGUUGCCAGAGCCCUUGAAUGGCCUCGACUGAGGCCUCUGGCUUCAGCAAGAUCGCCUUGGCACUGUUUAUUCUUCUUCUUCCUCCUCUUCAUGCUUUGUUUCUCAUUCUCCUCACCAGUUGGUGAAAACAAGUACAUGAUUGGCCUUCUAUUUCAGAAUUGGUUUUGUCAGUGAGGGAGUACAAGUGUACUAGUAAAAAAUAGCAUUACUUUCUCAUGGCAGUCACAAAAUAGAGAUGAACACAUGCAUUAAAUAUCAUUCUUACCUAAAGGAAGGUUAUGGUGCCAAUAUGGAUGAUGAGGAUUGGAACACAGAUCUCCCUUUGUGCAGUUCCACCAAAAUAAACCAACUGUUCCAUUCUGACAUUCCAGUUAAACAUCACAAAAGACACUCUUUUAAGAGGACCUUUUAAGAAGAGUUUUGUGCAAUGCACCAAAAGGUCACAACAGCAACCAGGUGAAAUGGAUAUCCCUAUUUACACAAAAAGCUACAGAGGAAACAGUCAGAGUCUCAAACAAUUACAGACAAAAACAUUUGGCUAAACUUGUCAUGCCUUAUAAUAGUGGCAUGGCUUCAUUUUUACCAGGGGCAUUAGAUUAAGAACAACUAAAUAUUUUGUAUAAGGGCAUGGGAUAGUGGGUGCACCAGCAGUCUAGCACCACGUACCUAAAUAGGGGCAUAAAGUGGUGAUCCAUAGUUUGGUGCCCCGAGAAACAAACAUCCAAGAAACAUAUCUGGGUUGGUCCCAUUUUCUUCACUCUAGCCACCUACUCCAAUGUGUGGAUAGCAAAUCUAGUCCUGGUCAUACCACUGUGUUCAGCGUUACCCCUAUAUUUCCCUUUUUGACCAAGAGACCGGUUGGAUGACCAGUCUAUACUACUUUCACCCCCUUUCCUUCCUGUUUGUACCAAGUCCGAUGUACUAUGUUUGGUUCUAGGCCUAGUAUUGCCAUAUUUGCCACACAUUUUUGCCAACCUUGCCUAAGUUUAGGGGCUGUGUGGUUCUGGGCCUAGUAUUGCCAUAUUUUGCCACACAUUUUUCCCAACCUUGCCUAAGUUUAGGGGCUGUUUGGUUUUAGGCCUAGUAUUGCCAUAUUUUGCCACACAUUUUUGCCAACCUUGCCUAAGUUUAGUUCAUCAAAAUGAAAGCCACAAGUUGGCAAGCCUAAGGGAAUCUUGCCACACUUUUUGUGUGUAUGCCAUGUGGGUCUCAAGUGUGGCUUGCCUAAGGUGUGGCUUGAACCAAACGCUCACCUAAGUUAGUCAAACUUGCCUAUCCUUAGGUGUGGCAAUAUUUGGCAAAGUUAGUCACAAACCAAACAGCCCCUUCUUGUUUGAACCAAAUACAAGAUUCGACUCCAUGAAGUAGCUUUACCUCUAACAAUAGGAAAAUAGGUGACGUUGGACCAUCCGAUCGAGUGGGGCUGAGAGGUAGAAAAUGAUGCACAUGCAGCGACGUAGCGAGCUGGGGAAGCAGAGCUAAGGCGGUUUCGAAGGAAGAUAUACCUGAAGGUCGUCGGGAUGUGGAUAGGUGGGCGGUGGGAGGCCGGAUCCGCCCACACUAGGGCAAUGACGAAGGGAUCGGAGGACCUCCCGCGCCGGCGCCCGGCCAGAGAUAACUGUGCGGCCAGCAGUGGGUCUCCUCCCUCGCUGUCGAUGAUGGCCUAAACGCUGACCCUCCUCCCCUUCACCGGCGGAGGGGGACACGCCCGGAUCUGUAACCAGCGGUGAGGAUAGAAAGACAGUGUUUUUUGAAGGGAGAAAGACAGUGUUACCACCCCUAUCUUGUUUAGAUCUGGAGAGGAUGAGAGUGUGUGAAUAGAGAAACCCUAGCAAGCAAGAGCGGAGGCUCCGGCCUAUAUAUACGUAGUGGAGUAGUUUUCCUUUUUCACUCGAUCAAAACAAUCGUAUAAAAUUGUGUACUACGUGCCAGGUCGCCCUUUUUUUAGUUGUUGAUUGUUUUUUGAGAUAGCUACCCGCUUGUUCAAGUGGUGUUACGGUGUGCCAGGUCGCACUUUGUAUCGUUCAAGUCUGGUACAAGUCUCUCCAUUAAAUGAACAACCAGCCCCUCGUAAAAAUUGUGAACAAGCCCAUGGCUAAAAUUAUCGGAAACGUGGGUUGCCCCAACAUGCAUUAUUACUUAUAUUUUCUACUCCCUCCAUUCCUAUAUAUAAGUCUUUUUUAUUAGCCACACCUAAGACAAGAAUUUGUUUUAUUAGCAGUGAACCCCACAUGUCAUAGACACAAAAAGUGUGGCAAGAUUCCCUUAGGCAAGACAAAGUGUGUCUAACAAUUUGAGCAACUCAAGUUAGGCAAGUGUGGCAAGUGUGGGAAAAAUAAUGUGGCAACAUAAGACAAACAUAGUCACAAUCCAAACAGCCCGGUAAUUUUUUGUGACAUGCAUGAAAAUUUGGUUAGUUAGAUUUAUAGUCAAAAUUUGGCAAGGAGCAUCAAAUCAACACAUGCAAGUAUCAAAAGGGAAGUCACGUCAUGCAUGGAUGCAUUGUACUCCCUCUGUUUCCAAAUAUAAGUUUUUAGAGAUUGCAACAAGUGACUACAUACGAAGCAAAAUAUGUCUACAUACAUCCAUAUGUAGUAGUCCAUUUGAAAUGUGUAAAAAGACUAUAUCGAGUGUAGUGCUUUGAUGUGUCGCGUCAACUCGUACAAGACCGAGAUGUUUGAUUACUAGAACGCCCUCUCCCUCGCGGACUGAGCUCCGGUGCCUUAACUGCACCUACCUUUGGCUGCAUGAUAGGUGGGCCAACCACCUGUUGGGCCCACCUGUCAUAGACGCAAAUGUAGGAGCUGUAAGUCAAUGAAGCUGCGUCCCUCCCUCACGCAUGAGCGUGGUGGCUGGCAGGACUAGUAGGAGCUUUCGCUACACGCUUCUUGAUGGCGGCGAACUUGCGGAUGGAGUUGACCAUCAUGUCGUCCAUGCGAGAGGCGAAGCCGGCGUCGGCGAGGGCUACAACGCCGGCGGUCCCCAGCACCGUGUGGAAACGCUGCGCGGUGCGGGGCCGCAGGCCGGCGCCUUGGAUGAUUUGGCACAGCCGACUGCCGCUCGCGACCAUUGCCUCAAUAGGUGCUUUUGGCUUCUGGUCACUUGGUCUUGGAUUGGAGUGAGCAGUGUUGCGCAGAGACUAAGGAGUAGAUGGAUUGGAGUGGUGGGGCGUCUUUAUAUGAGAAUCUAAACUCUGUUGCAUUCACAUCGUGCUGGCUCUAUUCUGCUUCUCGAAUUAAUUCCCUCUGCAUGUAGAGUAAUUUGAGGAUGUAUCAUUGACCGUUUAAUGUCUCGGGAACCGCUACCCUCUCCCUCCUUGGCAUUGAAGCACCUAUGGAGGAGACUUCCGCUGGCGUCUAUCGCGUGUCAGGAGACGUUCCCAUCGACGAUGAGGUGCCUAUGGUGACUUUGUAAAUUUUAAGAUGAUAGUACUAGUAUACUCAAUAUUGUGCACCGCGACCAAGGCCGAGAGGAAAACGAGAGAACUACGUAUUUAUUUACAGUGUAGAUUCACUCAUUUUGCUCCAUAUGUACUCUGUCUCGGUGUAGUCUAGUCACUUGUUGAAAUCUCUAGAAAGGCAAAUUCUCCUUUCUGGUUUACAGGGCUAUACUAGCAAGUACUCCCUCCGUCCGAAAAUACUUGUCAUAAAAAUGGAUAAAAAAGAUGUAUCUAGAACUAAUAUACAUUUAGAUACAUCCCUUUUUAUUCAUUUUGAUGAAAAGUAUUUCCGGAUGGAGGGAGUACUACAAUAGUGGGCUCACAUAGCAAUUUUGUCUCAUGCAAGAGCCUGGCUAUAUGCGUGCUCCAAGGUUCGCAGUUGCCACGUUCGGGUUGCACUUGGCUCUUCGCCUCUUCGAGAAUACAAACAAUGAUGUUACUAAUGCUGCUUCUACAGUAUCGAAUCCACUACUGCAUGUCUGUCCACCGCGAGCGGGAGGGAUAGCUUGUUGUAGUACUAUAAGGAAAAGACUGUCCUUGUCUGCGAGCCACGGCGCACAUGGGCGAGGGAGAAGGCGUGUAGUAGUAAAAUCAAGCUUCUCCUCGUUGUAUGAGUUGACGCUGAAAGACCCGCAGUGUAAAAUACUCCAUUUAGUGCAACCUCUAACAUUUACCCCACCACAAAUUAAAAUAUACAUUCUGUCUUGACCAGAUGAGCGUGCAAACUAGAAUCACCAGGAUGACAGGUAGGGCCAGAAGAUUAUUUUAAUCAAAAAAAAUAUAGCAUGGAGUCGACACCAAUGAUUUUAAGCUUACAGGCACAGUACACGCGAUCCUGGACUACUCCACACAUGAAACUGCCACACGAGCGUCCUAGCUGCGCUUGGCUCUUCGCCUCUUUGGGAGUACUACUGCAGUGGAGAAGUACUACAGUAUGCUUCUGGCCAUCUAACACCGAUUGAACUGUUGCAUGUCCACCGCGUACGGGAGGGAGAGCGUGUAGCAAACGAAAAAGCUUCUCCUAGUCCUGCCAGCCACCACGCUCAUGGGCGAGGGAGGGACGCAGCUUCAUUGACUUACUGCUCCUGCCUUUGCGUGCAUGAUAGGUGGGCCCAACAGGUCGGUGGCCCACCUGUCAUGCAGCCAAAGGCAGGUGCGGUUAAAGCGAGAGGGCAUUAUAGUAAUCAAACUUCUCGGUCUUGUACGAGUUGAUGCGACACAUCAAAGCACUGCACUCGAUAUAUUUCAAUAAUUUGUCUUUACUGAUGCAUUAAUUACAACGCAUGCAUGACGUGACUCUCCUUUUGAUACUUGCAUGUGUUGAUUUAAUGCACCUUCAAGUAGUAUGAAUAUGUGAUGGUAAAGCUUUGUAAUGCCCCAGCUCUAAUAAACUAAGAGAUGGUUGUGCACGAGGAGGGCGAGAUCAUGCAGACGGAACAUGACCCGACGAUGGAGCUCUCUAUGGUCUCGAUGGACCUCACCUUGCUCCACUACCCCUUGUGCCUCCGCACCUUCAAGCCUCCAGUGUAUGAGGUUUGAAUACACCUCGUCCGUUCGGCUGAUCGAGCAAGGUGCAGGUUGUUUGAUUGAGGUGUUGUUCGAUUGAUUUGUACAGUGCAAGGGAGGGCACCUGGCUUGCACGGACUGCCGCGUUGAGCGCCUCGAGAACCAACGACAGUGCCAGAAGUGCUAGCGCGGCGGUGGCUUCAACAUGCGGAACACGGCGGUGGACGUCGGCCUCUCCUUGGUGAGGGUGGAGUGCCCGCACGAAGGCUGUGGGCUCUACGUCACUUACCAUAAGCUCGCCGAUCACCAGAGCGUGUGUCUGCUCGCGCCCUGCAAAUGCCCAAUGCCUGUCUGCGGCUACGAAGGCCCGCCGCCGAUGCUCUCCCACCACAUCAGCACCAUGCAUCCCAUGCCCUGCACAGGAUCUAGUACGGCAAGGCGCUCCAGCUGCAAGUGACACUAUCAGAGCCACGUCUCUUGCUGUUCGUGGAGGAGGACGGUCGCGUGUUUUUCUUGGUCAGCUGCGUGCUCGACAUCGGUGAGCCUAUCACCGUGUCGGUCGUCUGCAUCAGAGCGGGGGCGUCCCCACUGCCGCACUACGUGGCCAAGCUGUGGGCGAACGGCCCGCCGGGGAAGCCUAAAGGCAGGACCGACACCGUCAAGUUGGAAAUGGAGGUGACAACCAGCAGCGAUCCCGGCGACGUCGCCUUGCAGGAGCUGACCAACUUCACAGUUCCGCCCAAGCUGCUGGCCGGGGCUAAGCUGGUGUCCCUCGACAUUAAGAUUGACAAGCUCGCGUCCUAAAUGAUUCUAAAGUGCCUUUUGUUUAUCUUAGUAAUAUGCUAAUAUAGGGGUUAGCUCGGUCUACUUUAGCUUAAGAGAUGGUGGGUUUUGGUGGCGAUGCAACAAUUACCUCGACAUCAGAUCAGCAGUGAAAGUAAUUUCAAACAGUCGAAUGGAUAUUGUGUGUCUGUUAGAUAUAAAGAUCCUUUGGGUAAGAAGUAACAGCUUAUAUGCUUUUUUCGAAAUGGAACAGCGAUACUAGUAUAAUUUUUGUUGACAUGCACUAAUAUUUUCGAAACGGACGUCGGGCUAUAGCUAGAAGGACGGUUGGGAUGCGGAAUCGGCCCAUACCGCAAUGACCCCCAAUUGGGACGCACCGACUAUGGAUUUUCUCCCUCGGUGAUGUCAACCGCAUCUACGCUGAACAUUGUUCCCUUCCCCCAACUGUGGGAUCAGGCCUGAUAUGUGACCAGCGGUGUGGCCACCGUCGUUCUAUGCUUGUGAAGAGACCAACCCAUGCAGGCUUGUAGCUUAGGCUCCUGCUAGUGUAUAUAUAGAGGUUUUCUUUUUCUCUCCAUAUCAACCAUUUUAUAUUGCGUACGUGUCAUCGAAGAGUGAAAUGGUGGUUGCUUCUUUCGACUAACUUACUGUGUGAUUUGACUGCUCCUUUAGUGACCCCUACACGUAAUCCCCCUACGUGUAUGCAACAGUCACAUGUACACAUGGACGCAAAAACACAUGUGAGGGAGUCCUUGAUUAGGGGGUCUCCGAACAGCCGGACUAUAUCCUUUGGCCGAACUGUUGGGCUAUGAAGAUACAAGAUUGGAGACUUCGUCUCGUGUCCGGAGGGGACUCUACUUGGCGUGGAAGGCAAGCUUGGCAAUACGGAUAUGUAUAUCUCCUCAUUUGUAACCGACCUUGUGUAACCCUAGCCCCCUCCGGUGUCUAUAUAAACCGGAGGGUUUUAGUCCAUAGGACAACAUACAAUCAUACCAUAGGUUAGCUUCUAGGAUUUAGCCUCUCCGAUCUCAUGGUAGAUCAACUCUUGUACUACUCAUAUUAUCAAGAAUAAUCAAGCAGGAUGUAGGGUUUUACCUCCAUCAAGAGGGCCCGAACCUGCAUAAAACAUCGUGUCCCCUGCCUCCUGUUACCAUCCGCCUUAGAUGCACAGUUCGGGACCCCCUACCCGAGAUCCGCCGGUUUUGACACCAACAACAUGCGACCCCCUAAUGCAUGCAUGUACGAGCACACGACGGAACACACACGGUCACGCUGAAGUGCUCAACCUACACGUGAAUGCACACACAUACUCAGCCAGGGUGAGCUAGUGACUGUAUAAACACAGGAAAAUGUUUAUAUUGAGCGCAAUGAGCGUAUUAUGAAGUCCACUGGCCAUAUUUUUACAAAUAUACAGUGACAGAUAGUGUAUUCAUCUUGUUUGAAAUUAAGCCAUAUUAACCGGAGAGGAGGCAGUAUGGACUAGCAUUACUUUGCUGUGUCCCGUCAACUUGACGAACAAGGAGAAGCUUGCACGCGGUGGCUCAUAGGACAAGGAGAAACUUUUGACUAAUGCAAGCUCUCCUUCGCUCAGGCGGUGGACGUGCAACAGUUAAUUUGGUGUCAGAUUGCCAGAAGCAUACACUGUACUAGUACUAUUAUUGUUGCACUUCCCGAAGAGGCGAACAGCCAAGCGCAAAGUUUACUAGUACUAGUACUACUACUAUAGUCUAUAGAGGUAUGUACUAUACUAGUACUAGGAACCGGAUGGAGGAGUGUCUGCACUCUUAUUAUAUAUUUAAAAUGUGAUAAAGCAAUCUUCAACACAUUUGGUUCUCUUUGAGGGUUCUCGCAUGUGAUAAUGGAAGUUGAUUGCAUGGAACACUCGGUAAUAUUUACUCUUUUCUGGUUAUUCAGCAUGUAGAUAGGUCAGCAAACCUUGCGGUGCAUCUUUGUGCGAACCGUGCUUGCUACACUUUGAAUGUGGCCGAGAGCUGGCUUGAUGAAACACCUCGCUUCCUACUUCUUUUUUUGCGGGGUACCUCGCUUCCUAGUGACCAGUCUCUUGGCUGAUCGUCCUAAGAAUGCUUAUAUAUGAAUAAAGCUCUCUCAUUUACCCGCAAAAAAGAUUAAGCCAUAUUAACUGGAAAGGAGGGAGUAUGGACUAGCACUACUUGUUGGUGUGUCCUGUCAACUCGCAAAACGAGGAGAAGCUUGCAGGACAAGGUGAAGCUCGCUUACGCCUUUUGACUAAUGCAACAUACCCUCACCUAGGCGGUGGACAUGCAUCAGUUCAUUCGGUGUCAGAUUGCCAGAGGCAUACACUGUACUAGUACCGAACAUGCGGAGUACCAUCAUUGUUCGACUUCACGAAGAGGCGAAGAGCCAAGCGCAAGGUUUAGUAGUACGAGUAGUACUACUACUAGAACCGCAUGGUGGAGUCUCUGUACUCUUAUUUUUUUAAUCUUUGAUAAAGUACACAUUUAUUCCGGAGAAGGGUGGAAAACGGCAGCCCAACAUGUAAUGAUGAUAUCGAUCAACCAUGCUCGAAUAUAUCUUGGCCUCCGUGCGAGCCCGUCUGUGUGUUCUCGCUCCUCGUCUCUCUCAAGGAACGGCGGGUUGGCCAUUUUGCCGUCAAUUGAGAUCAGUUUGCUCACACUCCGGUCCCACAUGUCAGCGAUAUGCCAAGAGGAGGUGCAUUGACCGACUGGCCAUACGCGUACUUGGUUUUGCACCUUCAUACUACUCUUCCCUCCGUCACAGUUUACAGGGUGCGCUUUAUUAUGAUGCAUUUCUCUCAAUGCAUUUCCACCACUAGAGAGACUUUAGACGCAUUUGGUUUAAUGCUCAAUUAAUUAGAGCGUGGUAACUGCAAUUUUCUCUCGAUGUAGUACUACGGAGUGGAGUAUGUGUAUGCAUGUGUGUACCCGGGGUGGAAGCACUGCAUGCAUGUGUGUACGCAUUAUUUACUAUAGUAAUAGAUGUCGUGCUAUAACUACCAAUGCUAUUUUUCAGGUCGAUCGCUAGUCGCAUUGGUCCCAGAGAUUUUCUCUUUUUCUAAAGCGCGCUCUAUAAACAGUGACUGAUGGAGUAGUAUGAGCGGAUUCAAAGAAGAGUGUAUUGAUGGUUGCUUCUUCCGAGCAACUUACAGUGGGAAAGGUGGAGCUUAUGGUUUAACUAGUCAUUACUCACUAUUAAUGCAGCGCAACGACCGGUCUGAGUGUCCCAUGCGGUUGUACACUACCCCCUCGGUUCUUAAAUAUACUCCGGAGUAUUUGUUUUUCUAGAGAUUUCAACAAGUGACUACUCAAAUAUUUGUCUUUUUAGGUAUUGAAAUGGACUACUACACACGGAUGUAUAUAGACAUAUUUUAGGGUGUAGAUUCACUCAUUUUGCUCCGCAUGUAAUCACUUGUUGAAAUCUCUAGAAAGACAAAUAUUUAGCAAUGGAGGGAGUACACGUAUGAAGCAAAAUGAGUGAAUAUACACUCUAAAAUAUGCCCAUUUGAAAUUUGUAAAAAGACAAAUAUUGUUGAUGACAGUGGCGAUGACAAAAAGGAAGCAUAUUCCUUGUCCUAAGGGAAGAUAACAACACGGUUGUGUUUGUCUAAAAUGGUGUGAGGACGAGAUUGCAAUAUGGAAAGUACGUCGGACGAGCUAUGUUUUGUGUAAAGAACUAUGGAAGAUCCACAUGCAGCGACGUGGGAAGACGGGCAAUGGAGCAAGGCCGGAGGGGAUACCUGGAGGUCGUCGGGAUGUAACUAGGUGAGCGGCGGCGGGCGGAAUCUGCCCAUACUGCGGCAGCAAGCAGGUGGUGUAGGCCCUACCACGACGCAGCUUGGUCAGAGAGAAUGGUGUGUACCACAGAUCGGGACAUGCUGCCUCGGCACCGUCGAACGGAGAAACGAUGCACGUCCUCCCUUUCUGCCGGCGGACGGGAUGCGGCUAGAUCAGUGUCCAGCGGUAAGAGAAAGAGGCCACCGCAGCCAUGUGUGAGAUACUCUGAAGAGAGACAAACCAGGCAGGGAGGCUCCAUUGUAUAUAGUGGAGUGGACUACCUUUUUCUCCAUAAAAAUCAUUUUAUAUUCUGCGGACGUGCCAUUGAGCGGUAUAACUUUAUUUAAAAAUAACGCGCCAACGCAUCAAAUCGAACUUUGUUUCGUGCACACGUGGUACACGACCUCCACAGGUAAACAACCGCUAUAGGCGUUCAAAUUAGCACGUGGGCUGCCAUUUCGUACAGAAAUGAGCUCCACCGUGUACCAGCAUGGGUGUGGCUGGGCACGAAGCAUGAGUACAUGGACGGUCACCUAUUCUCUUCUUGUAUACGUACACCACCUACGUGGGGUUGCGUGAGAGAUACAAACGUAGAGNNNNNNNNNNNNNNNNNNNNNNNNNNNNNNNNNNNNNNNNNNNNNNNNNNNNNNNNNNNNNNNNNNNNNNNNNNNNNNNNNNNNNNNNNNNNNNNNNNNNNNNNNNNNNNNNNNNNNNNNNNNNNNNNNNNNNNNNNNNNNNNNNNNNNNNNNNNNNNNNNNNNNNNNNNNNNNNNNNNNNNNNNNNNNNNNNNNNNNNNNNNNNNNNNNNNNNNNNNNNNNNNNNNNNNNNNNNNNNNNNNNNNNNNNNNNNNNNNNNNNNNNNNNNNNNNNNNNNNNNNNNNNNNNNNNNNNNNNNNNNNNNNNNNNNNNNNNNNNNNNNNNNNNNNNNNNNNNNNNNNNNNNNNNNNNNNNNNNNNNNGGGGGGGUUAAUCAAAAAAUGUAACAUAUGCAAUGUGUGUGAAAUAGAGUCCUGGAUAUAUCAUAUAUAUAGAGGGGGCGAGCCACGAGAAGAGAGUGGAGGUAUCAUCGACUUGAGGUGUCGAUAGAAUCGAAGAAAGGGAUGAUGUGUGGGUGUGUGUGCACGCGCGGUCGAUAAAGAGUGCCAUCGAAUUUGUGUGUGCCCACGUCAAAGAUAUAGAGUGGAUGGCCUACUAGAACGAGAGAGGGGACAUGUGCAGUUUUUCUCUGUGGCAUGGAUACCUACCUACAGCGCUCGACUAUUGAUGUGUGGUGGUGGGGAAAGGGAGGCCUAAUUAACUAUAGAGGUACAAUGGCUGGUAUAUGUGUGGAGGAGGAGAGAGGCCUACCUCAUGUAUUAAGGGAGAUCGAUCUACCUCAUGUAUUAAGGGAUAUCGAUCGGCAUCCAUGCAAAUGCGUAGGAGAGGAAUAAGGUUUGGAGAGAGACAUAGCUAGAGUGUUGGAGGGGGUGGUAGUGGAGUUGCUUCUAACAAAUGGUGGGAUAGGCUUGCUAGACAACCGGAGGGCACGCCUGCAAUAUCAAUAAGAGAGGGGAUGGCUGCCUGUCUGUGCACGUGCAUGUGAGAGACGGGUCAGGAGGCAUGCACGAAUGAUGAGGGGGGACGAUAUGGCUAUGGUAAGCAGACAUAACUAAAUAUGAAGAUCAAUCGUCCUUUGUCAGAGAAAGGAGAGACAUAACUUGUGACGUACGUCGAUCGAUGGGGGGGAUAGUUAAAGUCGACCUAGGUAUAUGUUGGGAGAUCGAUAGGUAUAAAUGCAUGUGUGUGUUAGAAGCAAAUGAGGCACGGGGAGAAGGAUAGAGAGAGGGAUGCAUCUAGGAGGUGGUGCGAGAGUCAUACUAUAUCGAGGGGGAAGGAGUGUGCGAGUAUGAGAUCGAUGAAAAGAGUGGUGGGAGUGAGGCAUGGACGGUGAUAAGAGAAGAGGGGAAGCUUGUGUUUGUGCUAGGCACACCUGGCUAGAGAGGCAUAUCGAACAAUGUGUGCCGUAAAGAAGUUGUUGGGGGGGCUACACACACCGUGGGUGAACGACCUAAAGUGAAAAUAUGAAUUUGCGCGAUGGAGCUAGAGAAUGCUGAGGGAGGGUGAGAGGGAUGCGGGCAUGUGCAUGCACGAGAGAAAGUUAGCGCUAGCUAGCUACAAAAAUAAGAGGAUUGUGUGGAUGUAAAGACGAAUAGAGGUCAUACUUCAUUAUAAAAAGCAAAUUUGGAUAUUUGAAGAAUUUAUCAUAGUGUUUUAAACCGACGCAUCUGUGAAUAUAUAUAACGGUGAUACACAUGGUGUGGUUAUGAACAUGUUAUACUACAUAUAAUAUAUUUUAUCUCUACUCUUAUAAAAAACGGAGUUGUUCAUGAUGGUGUGCUUGCCAUCCUGCAAUAUAGGCCAUCCGAUUUAUAUCUGACGGAUAGGAAGGAAACUAUGGCAAUUUUGAUAAAAGAUACCCACACCCCUCUCCAUAUUUGCAAAUUAGGCCUCCCAUUGAUCAUGUUGAUGUUCUGUGGAAUGCAUGGGCAUCUUGCUAGUACUACGUAUAAUAUAUAGAACACUGAUCAUAAUUUGGGCUAAUGUGUGGCUUUUGCAGCUCAGGUCUAAAUACUUGUCAUAAUGUAGGGGGCGGGGCACUAUACUAUGUGUGAUAAACACGUUGUACAUGUAUGGAACAUGGUUUAGAUUAUGAAUAUAUAGUUAGUACAUCAAAUGUACUAUUAUUUGGAAUCAACAUCAAGUGUUUUCAAAAAAUAGAAUUCAAGUUCAUGUAGUACACAUAGUUCAUAUCUAUCUCUAUAGUAAUCAUGUGGUGUGUUAUUAAGGUAAUACACGAAUGAUGGUUGAAGUUGGCAACAAUCAUGCUUGUAGAUUCUUAUUGAAAUAGAGAAACAGAUUCAAAUUCAGUUCGAAUUGCAGCGGUAGUAUAGACAUUUGGAAUGCACUAAAAUGUUGGUAUGAGUAGGUUACAUGCAUUAUACAACAAGCGAAAAAAUUUAAUUGCACAUAACAUGGAUUCAUACUCCCUCCUUCCAUCUAUAUAGGGCGUAAUGCAUUUUUCAAGACCGCCUUUGACUAUUAACAAGAUUAAUAGUACAUGACAAGCACAAUGUGAAAAUUAUAUCAUUGAAAGAACCUUUCACAAAUGAAUUUAACGGUGUGCUUUCUGUAAGUUGCAUGCCAUAUAUUAUUGCUCUAAUAUUUUCUCAGAGUUAGCAUCGAAAACACAUUAGGCCCUAUAUAGAUGGAAGGAGGGAGUAGCUUUGAAUAUCAUUUUUAUAGUAAAACGGGGCAAGACUCUCUCUUUAUGUGGUGUGAAUAUUUUUAAUUUUUUUGUUUUCUUUUUGGUUGAGGGAAGUGCGAAUUGAUUUGGUACGUACAAGUACAAUAUUACACAUUAGGCUUGUCCCUAAAAUUCUUCCCGCACCUUGUUAUAUCCCGAAAAUUCAGAUAUCGUGCUCCCAAAACUGGCGCCUUCACAACCUGUGCCUUGCUAUCCCAAAAUUACAACGCGCGCAAAAACUUCCUCCAGCUGCCAAAUCCCGACACGCGAAAUCCCCCUUCUAACCCUGAGCCGAAAGGGCCGCUAGUUCAAAUCGGUGGGGGGGGGGUACUUUUGUAACACACCCUACAUUUUGGACAAGUGUGUCCCUAAGUCAUGGUUCACCCCCUCCCGUCGCCUCCUUUUUGCCAUUCGAAAUCCCACGCCGCCAUAACCUCUCUGCUCCAGCCGCGAAACCCCACCCUCCUCCGUCCGCCACCUCACCGCUGCCCAGCCGGAACCUCUUCCCCGACAUCGUCGUCCACCGCAACAGCUCGACGUCCCUUGUCCACCUCCUCGGAUGAGGAUCCGUUGUCCAUCUCAGCGUCCUGCCGGUUCAGCCGCCCCGUCCACCUCCAAGGAGCUGCUCCGAAGAUCGCCUCGUCUAUCGCGGCUGCUCCAUCCCCACAGCGUCGCCUUAACCUGCUUCACCGAAACCACAUCAUCCUCACCGACUCCUUGGAUAAAGCCAGUGUAACACCCUCGAUGCGACUAUAUCUCCCACGUGCCGAGGCACGACUUAGAGGCAUAAUCGCAUUGAAGGCAUAUGUCGCAAGUUAGGCAAUCUUCACAACAUCCCAUGUAAUAUAAAUAAUAAAGGGGAGAUAACAUAGUUGGCUUACACUCGCCACGUCAAUCAAAGUACAUAAAUAGCAAUACAUCAUUCAAACACUCAUGGCCCGACUACGGCGCCAAAAUAAAUGACAACCCAACAUGCGACACGGUCCCGAUCACCCCUAACUGGGCACCACUACUAAUCAUCAGGAAAAGAAACAUAGUAUUGCUGAGAGUCCUCGUCGAACUCCCACUUGAGCUCGAGCGCGUCACCUGGAGCGGAAUCAUCAGGCCCUGCAUCUGGUGUAAUAGUAAUCUGUGAGCCACAGGGACUCAGCAAUCUCGCACCCUCGCGAUCAAGACUAUUUAAGCUUAAAAGGUAAGGUAAGGUAAAUAUAUGUGGAGCUGCAGCAAGCGACUAGCAUAUAUGGUGGCUAUCUUGUUCGCAAAAGAGAGCGAGAAGAGAAGGCAAGGCGCGGUCGAGUAACUAGAGAGAAAUCCUGCGGCAAGCAUUACUCCAACACCGUGUCCACUUCCCGGACUCCGCCGAGAAGGGGCCAUCACGGUAACUCACACGUUUGAUUCAUUUUAAUUAAGUUAAGGUUCAAGUUAUCUACAACCGAACAUUAACAAACUCCCAUCUGCCCAUAACCGUGGGCACGGCUUUCGAAAGUUCAAAUCCCUGCAGGGGAGUCCCAACUUAGCCCAUAACAAGCUCUCAUGGUCAACGAAGGAAUAGACCUCCUCCCGAGAUGUUCCGAUCAGACUCGGUACCCCGGUUCUUCAAGACAAUUCGACAGGUUAAAACAAAUCCAGCAGCACCGCCCGAAUGUGCCGACAAAUCCCGAUAGGAGCUGCACAUAUCUCGUUCUCAGGGCACAAUCAAAUGAGACAUCCUACGAGUAAAACCAACCCUCAAGUUCCCCCGAGGUGGCCCCGCAGUCUACUCGGUCGGACCAACACUCAGAGGAGCACUGGCCCGGGGGGGUCUAAAUAAGAUGACCCUCGGGCUUCGGAAACCGAAGGGAAAAGAGGCUAGGUGGCAAAUGGUAAAACCAAGGUUGGACAUUGCUGGAAAAGCUUUAAUCAAGGCGAACUAUCAAGGGGUUCCCAUUAUAACCCAACCGCGUAAGGAACGCAAAAUCCGGGAACAUAACACCGACAUGACGGAAACUAGGGCGGCAAGAGUGGAACAAAACACUAGGCGAGAGGCCGAGCCUUCCACCCUUUACCAAGUAUAUAGAUGCAUUAAGAUAACAUGGCAAUAUAAUGAUAUCCCAACAAGUAAAUAAUGUUCCAACAACGAACGGUCUCCAAUCUUCACCUGCAACUAGCAACGCUAUAAGAGGGGCUGAGCAAAGCGGUAACAUAGCCAAUCAAUGGUUUGCUAGGACAUGGUGGGUUAGAGGUUUGACAUGGAAAUUUGGGAGGCUUGAAAGCAAGUGGUAGGCAUCAUAGCAUUGGCAUAGCAAAAGAGCGAGCAUCUAGCAAAGCAAAGAUAGUACUGAUUUCGAGGGUAUGAUCAUCUUGCCUGCAAAGUUGUCAGAGUUGCCUGGAUCCUCGAAAGCAAACUCAAUGGGCUCCUCGUUAGCGAACUCGUCUCCCGGCUCUACCCAAACAAGACAAACAAGCAAUAAGGACACAAUCAACCACGUGCAAGGAUCAAACAAGAUGAUGCAAACAUGGUAUGCUAUGCGGGAUGCAAUAUGUGAUGCAUAUGCAAGAUUUGACAAGGAAUGCAUGACCCUGGCCUCAACUUGGAAAACCAAGUGUGCCACUGGAAAUAUGAGAUGAAAUCGCUUGAAAACGAUAUAAAGAUCACCGGAUUCGGAGUUACGGUUUGGAAAUGGCAAGCGAUUCAAAUAUGACCAUGUUCUGCCAUUUACAGCAAGUAGCCAUCUAAAUGCAAUGAGAUGAACAUGCUACAGCACUCAAACAUGACAACAAAAUACAUGGCAGGGAUGCGUUCAAGAUGCUUAACAAAAGUCUAGCACUAAGCUACGGCCAAUUCAUCCAUUAACAGGUUCAAACAAGCAUGGCAAAAAUGAAUAUGGUAAACAGAUUUCAGACUUAGUGAAAUUAACACUUGUCUGGAAUCUCAGAUCAGAUAGCACUCUUUGGAGCAACAAAACUACAUACUACAGGACCUGAACAUGGCAAAGUAAAACAUGGCAUGGAGCUACUCAAAAAUCUUAACAAAAGUCCCUUAGUGACCUUGAGCCAAAAGGGAUCAGAAAACACAUUUGCAAGCAUGUGAACAUGGCAAAACAUAAUCAGUUCUCAGACUUAGUGAAAACUGGAGCAUGCUGAAAACAGAUAUCAAGUAGGCAUGUUUACGAGCUCGAUGCACUCACUACGGAGCAAGUCAUGAAAAGCUAAGCAAACAUCUAUCAAGAACACACAAAAUGCAAGCUAUACAUGGCAAGAACAAUAGAAUAGCAUGCACGGAUCAACUACAACAUCAUCGGCAAAAUUGCUAACAAGUAGACAAUCUGCCCGGAAUCACGAAGUAGCAAAAGUAGAGCUCGAUUGACUCAAGCUAGGGUGCUCCAUAAUUGCAAACAAAUACAUGGAUGGAUAGAGAACUACAAGAUUAAUAAAACAUCUUUACUGAUCAUCCUCAAAAGAGGCCCGGAUCACUAGGAAACAACAUGAACAUAUGGCAACAUGAGAUAAACAGGUCAAGGACUUAGUGGAAAUGCUAAGUACCUGAAAACAGAAUUACCAAGUGCCUCACUUUGCAAGCUUGUUCUAGUCACCACAUAUAUCAAAAAAAUACAUGGGUUGUACCUCUGGAAAGAUGGCAAAAUCCUUAACAAAACAUAUGUAGAGCACCAGGGCAUAUAAUGCACACUAUAAUCAUGGCAAAAAUGACAAAUAUCUAAAUGGAGCAGCAGAUCUGACAAUUAUCUCAACUAGCACUCUUCUAACAGCAUUUAGGGCAUCAAGAUGAACUCAAAUGAAAAUUAUUGAAUGGAAUGAAAUGAUGUACUCUCUAAGAAGAACAUUUUGAUAUGCUAUAUGCCCAAAACGGAGCUACGGAUGCAAAGUUACGACGCGAUGAACAUGGGCAUUUGAACUAGGGUUUCGAGAGAAAGUCAACCCGCGUUUUGGAUCUAGAUCCAGAUACGGGGUGCACGCGAAACGAGGUUCACCGGAGUUGACGAGGAGGCCGCUGGAGUUGACGAUGAGGAGGGGGGCUGGCUAGUGAGGGAGCUCGCCCGGGGCGGCGACUUGGCGGCGGCGGGCGGCGCGGGGCCUGGCCGGCGAGGUGCGGUCGGCGAGGAGGCGAGGAGCUAUCGCGGCGGAGCUGCUCCGACCGGCAAUGGCGCGGCGGCGGCGGCCUUCGGGCGUGAGGAGGCGGGCGAGCCGGGCGGCNNNNNNNNNNNNNNNNNNNNNNNNNNNNNNNNNNNNNNNNNNNNNNNNNNNNNNNNNNNNNNNNNNNNNNNNNNNNNNNNNNNNNNNNNNNNNNNNNNNNNNNNNNNNNNNNNNNNNNNNNNNNNNNNNNNNNNNNNNNNNNNNNNNNNNNNNNNNNNNNNNNNNNNNNNNNNNNNNNNNNNNNNNNNNNNNNNNNNNNNNNNNNNNNNNNNNNNNNNNNNNNNNNNNNNNNNNNNNNCGGCGGCGGUUGGAUCCCGCGGCGGGGCGCGCGAUGGGCCUCGAGGGCCUGGUUCAGGCCUCCCGUGCCGGCGGCGGGGAAGUGGGCGCGGGCGGCUGGUGAACAGGGUGGCGACACGUGGCGGCGGCGGGGCUGGGCGGACACGUCCGGCAUCGGCGGAUGCUGUCCGGCGCGUGGAGGGAGAGGAUCUGAGGUUAGGGAUGGAGAAGGUUUAGGAGGGGUUCUUUAUAUAGACAUAGAGGGAGCUAGGAGAGUCCAAAUGAGGUGCGGUUUUCGGCCACGCGAUCGUGAUCGAACGCUCCAGAUGAUGGAGAGGGUUUUGGGCCAACUUGGAGGGGUGUUGUGCUGCAACACACACAAGGCCUUUUUGGUCCCUCGGUUAACCGUUGGAGCAUCAAACGAAGUCCAAAUGGUACGAAACUUGAUAGGCGGUCUAUCUGUAGUAAACCAAGGCCGCUUGGCAAGUCUUGGUCCAAUCUAGAAAUGUUUAAUCCCCACACACGAAAGAAAGGUAGAAAUGACCACCGGAGGAGAACGAAGCGCCGGAAUGCAAAAUGGACAACGGGGAAAAUGCUCGAAUGCAUGAGAUGAACAUGUAUGCAAAUGCAAUGCACGUGAUGACAUGAUACAAGAUGCAUGACAACGACAACAACACACGGAGACAAAAACCCGAACCCAAGAAAAAUAAAAUAACUUAAGGCCGAAAACGGCAAGAGUUGGAGUACAUAUUGGGUAAAUUACAUCCGGGGUGUUACAACACUCCACCACUACGAAAGGAUCUCGUCCCGAGAUCUAGGACUGAAAGAACGCCGGGUACUCAGAACAGAGGUGAUCCUCGCGUUCCCAGGUAGCUUCACGGUCGGAAUGGUGUGACCAGUUGACUUUGAGGAAUUUGAUUGACUUGUUGUGAGUCUUGCGUUCAGUCUCUUCAAGAAUAGCAAUGGGGUGCUCACGAUACGGGAGAUCUUCUUGGAGCUCAAUGUCCUCGAAGUUGACGGUGCGGUCCAGAGUCUUGAAGCACUUUUGAAGCUGAGAGACAUGGAACACAUCAUGAACAUUUGCAAAGUUUGAAGGAAGCUUGAGUUGAUAGGCGAGAUCGCCUCUCUUGCUGACAAUCUUGAAAGGUCCCACGUAUCUAGGGGCAAGCUUCCCUUUGAUACCAAAGCGACGAGUACCUUUCAUAGGAGAGACGCGGAGGUAAACAUGAUCUCCGAUCUCGAAAACCAGAUCACGGUGCUUACUAUCAUAGUAGCUCUUCUGGCGGGAUUGGGCUGCUUUGAGGUUAUCUCGAAUGACUUUGCACAUUUCCUCUGCCUCUGUGAUUAAGUCAUUUCCCAAAAGCUAACAUUCAUCGGUUUCAGACCAGUUGAGAGGGGUACGACACUUCCUGCCAUAUAGAAUUUCAAAUGGGGCCUUGCCCGAACUUGCUUGAAAACUGUUGUUGUAGGAGAAUUCAGCAUAAGGGAGACAAUCCUCCCACUUCAUGCCGAAGGAGAUCACACAAGCCCUGAGCAUAUCUUCAAGAAUCUGGUUGACACGCUCGACUUGACCGCUAGUUUGAGUAUGGAAAGCUGUGCUGAAGCGGAUGUUGGUGCCCAUGGCCUUCUGAAAAGAAUCCCAAAACUUGGAGGUAAAGAUGCUGCCGUGGUCUAAAGAGAUCACUUGUGGAAUACCGUGCAGAGAGACAAUCCGAGAUGUAUAGAGUUCCGCCAAUUGAGCUGCAGUGAUAGACUCUUUGAUAGGCAGAAAGUGAGCCACUUUAGUGAGUUUGUCGAUGACAACGAAUAUAGCAUCAUUGCCACAUUUAGACUUUGGAAACCCAGCCACGAAGUCCAUCUCAAUGUGGUCAAACUUCCAUUCUGGAAUGGCAAGAGGUUGGAGGAGACCCGCUGGCCUUUGGUGUUCUGCCUUCACUCUUCUGCAGACAUCAUAUUCAUUUACGAAUUGAGCAAUCUCGCGCUUCAUUCGAGUCCACCAAUAAGCCUGCUUGAGGUCCUGAUACAUCUUCGUGCUCCCAGGGUGGAUGGAGAGGAGAGAAUUGUGAGCCUCAUUCAUGAUCACUUUACGAAGAUCACCUUUGGGCACAACAAUACGAUCCUCGAAGAAGAGAGUAUCCUUGUCAUCAAGGCGGUAGCACUUGUACUUGGGUUGACUCUUGGCAAUCCCAAUCUUCACCUUCUUCACCAUAGCAUCAAGAAGCUGAGCUUGGCAAAUCUGGUCUUCCAAGGUAGGAGAGACUAGAAGGUUGGCGAGGAAACAUUGAGGAACAACUUGCAGAUUAAGUUUGCGGAAAGCUUCAGAAAGCUCGGGUUGAUAAUGCUUGAGAAUCAGACUGUUGCAAUAAGCCUUCCUGCUCAAUGCGUCAGCAAUCACAUUGGCCUUUCCUGGAGUAUACUCGAUACUCGGAUUAUACUCUUGAAUCAUUUCGACCCAUAGAGUUUGCCUGAGGUUGAGAUUAGGCUGAGUGAAGAUGUACUUGAGACUCUUGUGAUCAGUGAAAAUGUCCACUUUUAUUCCCAAUAAGAGAUGUCUCCAAGUCAAAAGAGCAUGCACACCUGCUGCCAACUCGAGAUCAUGAGUGGGGUAGUUCUUCUCAUUGGGCUUCAACUGGCGAGAGGUAUAAGCCACAACUUUCUUCUCUUGCAUCAACACUGCACCGAGACCUUGGAGAGAGGCAUCACAAAAGACCUCGUACGGCUUGGAUUCAUCAAGCGGAGUCAGAACUGGAGCAGUGAUCAAUUUCUCUUUCAAAGUGUUGAAAGCAAUGUCACACCCCGGAGACCAAACGUACUUGACGUGCUUCUGGAGAAGAUUUGAGAGAGGCUUUGCGAUCUUGGAAAAGUUUUCAACGAAUUUUCAGCAGUAGCUUGCGAGACCGAGGAAGCUACGGAGUUGCUUCACGUUCUGAGGAGGUUCCCAAUUCACAAUUGCAGACACCUUCUCAGGAUUCACGGCAAUGCCCUUGGCAAAGAUGAUAUGACCAAGAUAAAGAACCUCAUCGAGCCAAAAUUCGCACUUGGAGAACUUGGCGUAGAACUUGUGUUCCCUAAGCUUAUCGAGAACCAAACGCAAGUGCUUGGCAUGAUCUUCCUUGUUCUUCGAGAAAACCAGAAUGUCGUCGAGAUAGACCAAAAAGAAGUCAUUGGUGUAGGCGUUGAAGAUGAAGUUCAUCAUGCGAGAGAACGUCAGAGGAGCGUUGACGAGGCCAAAAGACAUGACAGUGUAUUCAUACGAACCAUAGCUUGUCCUGAAGGCCGUCUUGGGAAUAUCUUGCUCACGGAUUCGAAUAUGAUGAUAACCCAUACGGAGAUCAAGCUUGGAGAAUACUUGGGCACCUUUGAGUUGUUCGAACAGCUCGUUGAUGUUAGGAAGUGGGUAUUUGUUCUUGAUGGUCUUCUUGUUCAAUGGACGGUAAUCAACACAAAGUCGGUCCGUUCCAUCCUUCUUCUUCACAAAAAGAACACCACAACCCCACAAAGAAGAACUAGGCCGGAUGAGACCCAUUCUCUCUUGAAUAUCGAGUUGCUUCUUCAACUCCUUCAACUCUUCUGGUCCGAGCUUGUAAGGACGCUUGCACACUGGUUCCGUGCCAGGCUCAAGAUCAAUGACGAAUUCAACUGGCCGGUGCAGAGGCAUUCCUGGAAGCUCUUCUGGAAAGACGUCUUGAUAUUCGCAAAUGACUGGAAUUUGCGAGAUAGCAUCCAGUUCACCCUUCUCAUGGAGAGAAAACAGACGGAUGGUAUCGUCACGAGCGGCAAAGACAAUUACAUCCUCAGACGAAUGAGUCAAUUGAAUCUGCCUGGCUGCACAAUCAAGAUGCGCCUUGUGCUUAGAAAGCCAAUCCAUUCCGAGAAUAAGAUCAAUAUCCGAAUAGCCUAGAACCACCGGAGAAGAGAGAAACUUGUAAUCGCCCAACACACGGAAGAAAGGUAGAAAUGACCACCAGAGGAGAACGAAGCGCCGGAAUGCAAAACGGACAACGGGGAAAAUGCUCGAAUGCAUGAGAUGAACACGUAUGCAAAUGCAAUGCACAUGAUGACAUGAUACGAGAUGCAUGACAAUGAGAACAACACAUGGAGACAAAAACCCGAACCCGAGAAAAAUAAAAUAACUUAAGGCCGGAAACGGCAAGAGUUGGAGUACAUAUUGGGUAAAUUACAUCCGGGGUGUUACAGCCGGGGCCUACUCGACGCCACCAAAGAGGUUGUACACUCAUCGCGUCGCACCUUCUCCUUAGCUCGACCUCCCGGCACCGACGGUGCUCCAUCACGCACCCCCAUGGAGCGGCUACCUUGAAGCCGGCACCGUGGGCGACAUCUCCAUGGCGGCUCUCCCCCAGUGCGAGGCCUCUUCAGUGGCAGCAUCCAUACCAGCUGGAUCUGUUGCUGCUGCUCCGGCUCUUGCUCGUGUUGCUGCUGCAGCUUCGGCUCUCGCUCGAUCACCCAGCUCCUGCUGCUCCGGCUCCCGCUCGCUCACGCUGCUACUGCUGCUCUCCCCCUUGCUCGUGCUGCUGCUCUGCUCCGAUUUAGCUACACUUCAGUUGACUGAAUCGACUUUUGGGUCAGUCAAUUUUCAGGGGGUGGGGGGCUCACCGGAGUUAAGGAAGAACCACCCGCAGCGGGGACGGGGGCUCGCCAGAGAGGUACCCCACUAUCUAUCUUAGGGUUCAAGGUGGGGGCGGGGGGCCUAUAGGGCUGUCCGGGGCGGCAGCGGACCGGCGGUAGGGAGUUGUUUCGAGGCGGUGAGGUGGCACUGGGGCCGGCGGUUCGGCCGGUGGUGGCUGGCGGCUCAGGGGGGUGUAGGCUGAAGAUGAACUGCAGGCCCUCCCUAAACUACAUGUCAAGUGCCUCUCUGCUACCAUUGCGUUCAAUUUCGACAAUAACAUUCAGAUUCCACAGUAAAUUUUAGUUUUGACAGUUAAGUUCAGAGUCAACAGUUUUUACCUCAUCUGUUGUAGUCAGGUGGUUUUUGGUGAUGUAAAUUUUACAUCUAUUUUACAUCAUCUAUUGAAGAUGCUAUUAGAAUCCCACUUGAGAUUGACGAUGUAUGUCUUGUGCUGCUUCAGCCUUGACGUCUUACGGCUCACCGGGUCUGCUCCAACGACAGAAUGAUCCAUCACAACAAAGCAGUGCCCUGGACGCCGUCUACAGAUUCCUCAGAUCUUCCUCCACACCUCCGACAGCCACCUCUACCUCAACUGCUUCAACAACCAACCCAAUGCUGAUGACGUCGACACGGCUACGGCAAAGAGGUUGUACACUUGUUGCAUCACUUAUUACUAUACAUUCAUGUCGAUCCAUUAGGGCUAUUUUGGUUCAACGGGAAAAUAUAGCAAUAGGGAAUUUUCCAAUGGCACUCUACUAUUCAAUUAGUCAUGCAUUUUGUUGAAAGGAAUGAAGCAAAAUAUCCACCUGGACCUACUUUUCAAAAUCCUAUGCAUGAAAACAAGACCAAGUGCAUUAGUGGCGGAAUAGGGUAUGCCUGUGUUGUUUAUAUUGGGUGGGAAACAAAUAGUAAAGCAAUCAUCAUCUGUGUUUUUAUUAAAUUAAAGCAAGCAUCAGCCUGCUAUCAUUAUUUUUGGAUCCAUCCACUGGUUGUUACCAUCACUCCAAAUUUCUGCAUGCUCUCCUUACAUAAUCUCACCAUAUUUUCUCGUAUGCAUGUCAGAUAGUGUACACAGUCAUGCUGAACAUGUAGAGAAAAAGAGAAGAGUUUUGCGUGGCAAUACAAUGUCAUGCAUACAUCGCUCCAUGGUGGGUUCAAUGGCAAACCCUCCCCACCCCUCUCUAGAUUGUAAUCUAGAGCAAGAUAUCUGUUCUGAGGCGGAUUCAGACGCCGCUGACCACUCUUAUUUACCCCCAAGGUGUUUGCUCUACCUUGGCAUGAUGAUGUUAGUCAUAUCAUGCAUAUGUUGCCUUGCAGUGCCUACUUUUGACAUCAUAUAUGUCAUCUGCUUAGUUUAGACAUGUUCUAUAAUGCCACCUGUUUAGUUUCUAUAUCAUAUAUGGGAAUUAUGCAGUCUCAUGUCUUUUAGGCAGCCAUAAUAUACGUGAAAUGUGCAAUGCCAUCAUGUUUAACCAGGCAUCAUAUAUUUGAAUGAUAUCUUGCCCAUCCUUUUGUUCAUUACAUUUCCAUUUGUCGACAAUGUUUGUACAUUAAACUACUCUUCCUGUGAAUCAGCCAUUUGGGUGGGAGAUUGAAAAAUCUAGAGUGAAAACAAGGCCUUCAGAGAAGACAGUGCUACCUGUCGAAGCAGAUCUCUUGUUGGGUCCCGAUAGCUCCUCGGAGAUGGAUUCAGAGAUAGAUGACCAAUCAUAUUCCCCCACCGAGGUGUAUGCUCUAACUUGGCACGGUUAUACUACUCAUAUCAUGCAUACGGUGUCUUGCAUUGCAUAGUUUAGACAUCAUAUACACAAUAUUCAACACCAUGUUCUUAGUUUAGACAUCAUAUCUAAUGCCCUCUGUUUAGCAUAUAAAUCACAUAUGUGAAUUAAAUGAUGCGAUCAUGAUUACUUAGAUAACAUGUAGGUGAAUUACGUCAUGCUAUCCUGUUUAGUUAUUCAUCAUAUCUCUGAAUUAUGUAAUGCUACGCUAUCCAGUUUAGAUAGACAUCAUAUAUGUGAAAUUAUGUGAUGCUAACUAUUUUAGUUAAACAAUAUACAUGUCAACUAUUUCAUGCCCUCUUUUUUCCACACUAUCUAUUACAUCGGUCUCUCAUACAAUGUCUGUACAUUCAACUAUGUUUCCUGUUUAUCAGCCAUUUGAAUUGGAGCGGGUGAUGAGCAUCUAGCAGACUAAAAACACGGUCUUCAAAUAAAAUAGUGCUACCUCUUGGUGGAGAUAGCACCCCGGUUGUACAUGCACGAGAACCAGCCCUACCACACAUAACCCAAACCCUCGCAGAUUGUAACCCUACUGUGAUGGAUAGAGAACCACCUAAAACAGUAUUACCUCUUGGUGGAGAUAGCACCCCAGUUGUACAUGCAUGAGAACCAGCCCUACCACACAUAACCCAAACUCUCGCAGGUUGUACCCCUAAUGCGAUGGACAGAGAACCAGCUUCACCCAAUCUAACCCCAACCCCAGCAGAUAGUAACCCAGUUCCUGUUGACACAGCACCAUCUCCACCACAGAUCUCCCAAUCUAGAGCAGUUAGUAAGGCAGAUCCAGUGCCCAAAGGGCCAGUACUACCACGGUGAACCCCAACUCCACCAGUUAGUACGACUAUUCCUAUGCAGGAAGCACAACCAGCUAGUCAUAGUUUAGCAUCUAUCGCAUUUGAUGUUGUUAAAUCAUAUGUGCGUAUCUUCCCAUCUUGGAAAUAUUAUACUAAAGAUGAAGGAAAAUGCUAGUUGCAGGUGUUUGUCCAGGAGUUAUGUGUAAGUAAUGUUAUUCAUGGCAAUUACUUUGCUUUGUCCCAUACAUCCUGCCUCCAUGAUGGUUAUAAUACAGAAAAUUUUCCCAUUUUUCUCUAUAGAGAAGUACCGAUUUGGAAACUCGGGAUGAGGUAACCUCUGCUAUCUUCAAGAAUGCUUGGUGGCAGUAUCAGAAUUACCUGAACAAAACGUACUUCACCGGCAAAGAAACUCAUCAAAUUCCCUUACGUUCUCCUGAGACACAUUUAGUAGACGAUGACUGGGGACGCCUUGUUAUGUACUGGUCCCGAACGAAGAAUGUGGUAAGGUCUAUGAGCUCAUUUUAUAUUUUUUAAGUACUAUAUUCUUGCGUCUUACUAUACUCUGUAAAUGUAGAACAAGUGCCUAAACCUGAAGAAUAACUGUUCAAAUUUAAGAUUCCAUUGCUAUCAUAGUUCAAAAAAGCGCUAGGCGUUAAUUGUGUGUUUUGCCACCGCCUUGCGCUUUACAGACCAAAGCGCAUGCUUAUGCGUAGUUAUGCACAUAUUAAGCAUAGUUAUGCGCAAUGCAUUUCGCCAACGCCUAGAACCUAGCCACGCUUAAGCGCUCGCUUAGGCGCGCCUUUUUUAACUAUGAUUGCUAUCAUGCAUACUGCUUUGCUCUUGUAUCACUGUAUUUACUCAUACAAACUUAUUUUUAAAUUGAAGGAUCCAAUCGAAACUCCAAUGGCACAGCAGGUAUGUUCACGCAUGUUUCUUUAACAGGCUUGCUCUUAUCAAUAGCUCUGUUGAUUUCAAUUUCAAUUGUGUAUACAGUUGACUUCUCAUAUCAUGCACAUUACUAGCAUCACAAUAGAGCCAAUAGUGUUGUUGUACAUGUAGACCCGUGGUACCCAUCUGAAAUCUUGUUGUGUCGUGUAGUUUCCCACGCUUUGUAUUCUUUCACUGCUGCUUUGUCUUGAACUGAUAUGAUUUGAACCGUGUCUCUAUUUUGAUUUGGCAAGACAAUGCAGUGACCAUAAGACAUAGAUAUAUGUUUGUUUGAUGCUUUUAUUAUGUACUAGUACUUGGCAAUAGAAAACUUGUAGUUUAAUCCUGUCCACCUUACUAAUGAACUGGUUCACCGAAAUGAGUUUCAUAUACUAGUACAUGCUAAACCUGUUAUGUGUCUGCUUGUUUCUUCUUUUAGAAUGCUGACAGAAUAUUGGGGAAGGGUGCCUUAUUAAGCAAUGGUAAAGGAAGUAAUGCAGAUAAGGUUCAGGAUAGUGACACAUCCUUGUUAGUCUCCAACAAAGCGGAUAAAACAGCUAAGGAAGACUAUCUCAAAGACAGUGAGACAACCCCAGAGUCCUGUCUUGGUUUAGUGUUCGAGUUACUGGCCACUACCGCUUGCACAACCUAUUCAAACUCACUGUCUGAAUCACACUACAAGAAAUAUGUCAACUUGUGACCCUCACUAUUGGCUGCUAAAAGGUCAUAGUUUUUCAUUUGCGACCUUUGGUGACCAAAAACAGAAGGUCAAAAGCUGGCGGUCGUAAACUGAAAUUGGCGACCUUCUCUGUGAGAAGGUCGUAGACGUUUACGACGAAAACAGAAGGUCGUUGAACCCAUGACCUUUUGUUUUGGUCAUUGGCUGUCUGUCCAGGCCAUGUCGGACCCGACGUGGCAAAAUUGCGACCAAAUGAAAAGGUUGUUGGUUAAAAUUAGCCUGGUCCAGUUCGCUGUUCUACAUGGGCCUGGCCCAACAAUUCAGCCUAUUUGAUUUUUUUCUGUCAAUUUUUUGGUUAACUUCAUGGGCCAAGCCCAACAUUGUAGCCUUUUUUAUUGUUGGGCCGAUUUCAUAUUCCUUUUUUAUUAAAUGGGUCCACUAGUCAGAUGGGUCCCAGUGAAUGUAAUAGUUUAACUCAUGUUAACUAGCAGUAACCUUCACAAGACAGCCUCAAACGAACCAUCUAGUCAACUCAUGUUUAUAGCUAACAGAAGCAAGUGUAUGUAUUUGUUUAACUCAUGUUAACUAACAGUAACCUUCACAAGAGAGCCUCGAACGAACCAUCAAGUCAACUCAUCAUACAACACAUUUACAGCUAACAGCAGCAAUACAUCAUACAUCAUAGAGAACGUUCACAGAAACCAACAAACUAAACUAGAGUCACAUCAUAAGCUCACAAGCAUGGCUGUCGCAGCAGUUUGUUUCUCCAGUAAGGACAGUGACUUUCUUCCUCGACCAGACAGCAGCCCAGCUCACAUCCUCUACCUCCUCACAGGAGGCGCGCCACCUCAUCUCCUUCAACAGGGGGAUCACCACCACGUCCACCAGCAGCCUGCAUGAAGUAGAACAUGAAAAGAGCAACAUCUAAUUAACUUGAUUGCCUUGCAGAUGACACACAAGAUGAAGAGCACUUGGACAGAAGCUAGUAUACUUGUGGCUGUAGUUGACCUAAUCUAAUCUAAUGGGAACAACAUCACAAUUCACAAGCAAGCACCCGUACUCUUGAAUUCAGUUUACAGUUUCCAACUGAAAUAAGUUCAGUUGAAAGCAAAGCAGAGAACAAGAAGGAUUAGCAGAGAGCUCACCAUGGCUGUCAUGUGGCCGACGUGGAAGAGGCAGCAUGUCCAUCCAAGCAGGAUCAGCAGCACCAGCAGAUGGGCCACUCAUUGUCCUGGAUAUUUGCCUUGACAUUGUCAAUUCUGUCAGAGGACUCGACCUCAAGUGUGAUGGUAUUCCCGGUGAGAGUCUUCACAAAGACCUACAUCUGAAUAGUUGAGAAAACAGGACAGGUCAGGCAUAUAUGAACAAAUCAAGAAGGAAACAGACACGAACAUAAAUAAUAUAAAUCUUGCAAGUUGCAACAGAUACGCGUAGUUGGAAAUUGCAAACGAAGCAAAAUAAAUCAACAUGGUAGAGGCCAAACAAAUCUACAAAGUCAUGAAGCAACAUGAAGUGGAAGAUCUAAACCUUAGAAUAAAGGUAAACCUGCAUCUUUAUCUGUAUAUUAACAAAUAACAAUAGUAGAGCAGGUGUACAUCAAAGACAUGGACUGGAAGACAAUCUGACUGUUAGUACUAUCUACUUCUAGUUCAAAUUAAGCAGAUUUCUACGAUAGGUCGAUCUAAAUGUAGCACAUUAAUUGUAAGUCUAACAUACAAAUGCAGUACUAUGUCAUUUCAUCAGAUAUAGUUCUGUGGCUGAGGAUGUCACUGAAACUAAGCAGUACCCUCAAAUGAAAUAGUUUAAACUGCUUUGUCUAUAUGUCUGCUUAGAUCUCAUGCAUCACUACGAAAUACAGUAGUUUCAAAGCAAAUUUCAUAUCAGAAUAUGUUUACAUUGUUCAAGUAUACUAUAUGUUUGCACUGUUCAAGUAUACUAUAUGCACCAGAAUGUAAUCAGGUGCAUAUGUUGCCAGACAGAGAUGCCAUCUGUAUAUACCUAGAAUCAAUCACAAGGUAUAGGGAGGGAAUUAGUCACAUGUAUUCUUACUAUUACUGCUAGGUUGCUAGCUAGCUGCAUGUAUCCAUCUAGUAGGUAGUCACAAGUCAGAACACACCUAAAAUAACUUGCAUUCCACAAGAACGUCAGAUGUACAAUGUUUAAAUUGUAUAAAUAAUUUUACUUCUUCUCGGAAGCAUGCUUGGAACCCACAUGUUACAUAUCUAUGCAUAUAUCCCCAUACAACAACAGAACCAAUACAGCAACUAAGCCUAUAAACUUUUUGCUCCCAGCCAGCAUCAUAAAUUUUCUCAGCUAGUACUAACUACCAAGCUGGUCACUGCCUCAGCCAUACUAUAGUAAGACGUCCUUAUAUACUACUCCAUACAGUACUGGCUGAUAUGUAAUAAACCAGCAGGAAACUGUGUGUUUUCUCCCAGCCAUAUCAUACACCAAAAGCACUGUGCCCAGCAAUGAGGUCGGCAUCAUUGAUUCCUGAAAUUUUAUGUAUUGUUCGAUGAACUUAACUCAAACAAUAAUAUGUCUAAGAACGACCAGACUACAAGUGAAGCUUAUGAUUACGGAUAUAGAAUCUAAACACCGAGUUUAAAUAUUUUAGUUCAGAACAUAAAUGUAAUCUGAUGAUGUCCAUCACAUUCCUAUGCUUCCAUGAUGAAUUAUACACUUAAUAGCUACCAACAAGCAUAGGCAAUUAUGUAUGACAAACUAAAACAAUUUCUGCUCAACACGUGUAGUGGGUUUAACUUUUACAAUAAAGUAAAUUACGAGAUAUAUCAUAAGAAUUAAUAUCCCAAGGAGCAGAUCAUUGUACAGUUUCUCGUCCAACAAAACAUGUAUGCAGGAGCAUGACUAGUGUAUUCAACAAGGUGUGGUGCAUCUAGGGAGUUCAAGCGAGGUGACAUGUAGUUUCUCACAAGCACGUGCUCAGAGCAAGCAAACAGAGGCGGGGAGAAGAGAGCUCACCAUGGCUCUCAUGUAGCCGACGCCGAAGAGGUGGCAUGUCCGUUCAACAGAAAACGCUGGGGCCGAGCGAGCCUACCACCGCACACCUCGAUGAGCCCACCCUUGUACUCUGCAAAUCCUGUUGUCGCUGCACAUGAAGGAAAAUAGACAUAACAAGAUAAUGUUGAUCAAAUCGAAGGAUAAAUCAUGUCCAGGAACAAAGGAGCAGCUUAGAUAGCUCACAUUUCAUAUCCUGGAAAUCAUGUCGAGGUACACCGAACAACACCUAUCAAUGCUCAGCAGCUGCACCAUGAUACACAGAAUAAAAAAAGAGGUCAAUCACCUCCACAAACACCAGCACCUUGAGAAGGAAUUGUGCCAGCUGCGAAAUAAGGAAGGAGUCUCUGCUUCAUUCAUUCUAUACUAUUUGCAAUUUCAGUUUGGUUUAGAAUUAGAAAUGAAUCUUGAACAAAAAGGAAAAUAAAAGGUGUUCUCCAUAUUUGUUCUUCAUACAAGAAACUGAACCAACAAGUUGUUUCAGUCAGAGUUGAACCAAAUACGUAUUUAAUCAUGCCUAAAAUACAUCACAUCCACAUCACACACCAAAUUAACAUAGGAAGCAGGGGAGUAGGUCCAUGUACCAAUCCAUCACCUUGAUGGAGUUAGGGGAAGAGAAGAAGCAGAGUAGGGAGGCCGAUGGCAUCCCUCCCAAGCAGCAGCACAACACAUCAUGCCUUCUUCUCCCAUGGUGACGUCCUGGCUCGAAAGAGAGAUGAGAAGGGGGUCAGACAGAGAGAAGAAGAAGAAAAGAUGAGGGGAAGAGAAAGGGAUUCAGAUAUCAAAAUGUCAAACUAGCAUUCAGAUAUCAAAAUGUCAGACUAGCAAAAUGUCCAACUAGCAUUCAGAGAUCAAAAUGUCAGAAGUUCACACACACCAACACCAAAUCAUACUUCUUCUGUCAACUAUAAAUCCACUUAUUGGGGGUUUCUACGAUUUUUUUACCAAAUGUUUUUCCUUCACAAAAAGCUAUCAGUUGGUCCUGAAUUUUAUCUUCACAGGGAUGUCAAUCAACCACAA